CACGUAGGGGGCGAGCGUUGUCCGGAUUUAUUGGGCGUAAAGAGCUCGUAGGCGGUUUCGUAAGUCGGGUGUGAAAACCCCAGGCUCAACCUGGAGACGCCACCCGAGACUGCGAUGACUAGAGUCCGGUAGGGGAGCGUGGAAUUCCUGGUGUAGCGGUGAAAUGCGCAGAUAUCAGGAGGAACACCAACGGCGAAGGCAGCGCUCUGGGCCGGUACUGACGCUGAGGAGCGAAAGCGUGGGUAGCGAACAGG
RNAcentral lists this ribosomal RNA (254 nucleotides) under uncultured bacterium. RNAcentral describes it as "partial 16S ribosomal RNA". It matches the Rfam family "Bacterial small subunit ribosomal RNA", at positions 524 to 776 of the family's 1533-position model. The record is from RNAcentral.